UACGAAGGGUGCAAGCGUUACUCGGAAUUACUGGGCGUAAAGCGUGCGUAGGUGGUUUGUUAAGUCUGUUGUGAAAGCCCCGGGCUCAACCUGGGAAUGGCAAUGGAUACUGGCAAGCUAGAGUGCGGUAGAGGGUAGUGGAAUUCCCGGUGUAGCGGUGAAAUGCGUAGAGAUCGGGAGGAACACCGGUGGCGAAGGCGGCGACCUGGGUAGAUACUGACGCUGAGGUGCGAAAGCGUGGGGAGCAAACAGG
RNAcentral lists this ribosomal RNA (253 nucleotides) under uncultured bacterium. Its description in RNAcentral is "partial 16S ribosomal RNA". It matches the Rfam family "Bacterial small subunit ribosomal RNA", at positions 524 to 776 of the family's 1533-position model. The record is from RNAcentral.